CGCUGAAAAACAGGUUCUCGUUUGAUCACCGAAGUUAAGCCGUGUCGAUCCCGAUCAGUAUUUAGAUGAGUGACCGCUUGGGAACAUCGGGUACUGUA
Molecule: non-coding RNA, 98 nt
Organism: Acanthosepion pharaonis
Lineage: Eukaryota; Metazoa; Mollusca; Cephalopoda; Sepiida; Sepiidae
Source: the annotation of a GenBank genome assembly